UGAACUUGCAGCUCAGCUGCCUCUGUAAACAGGACAGCCCCAUAAAUCACCCAAGGUCUGAAUGAGGAACUGGGGGAGACAUAAAUGUGCAAGAGAAGAGGAAGGGGGUCCUCAUACUUGCUCUGUGGUUGUUUCCAUGGACUCAGCUGCUUCCAGAGGCCCCAAGGAAACCCAAGUCCGAACCCUAAUGUAAUACUGGGAACAAACAGCAAUGGAAACAUUGAAGAGAUUUGUAUGUAUCUGUCAUGUCCCAGACCAGGUUCAACAUAUUAUCAUGAGCUCCAGUUCUUUGUACUUUGAUGCAGAGUCAAGAGAAGCAGCUCAAACUUACACAGCCAAAAAUGAAGUACAAAAUGAAACAUCAUAAAAAUGAAUAGAAGUUGGUAAGGCUACUGUUUUGAUCUAACAAAGAAAUCUUCCUAGAGAAAUCUGUGAAAGUGCAUCUAUUCUCCGUCAUGUAAUUCUUUGUGGAAGCACCAUCUCAGAGUACGUACGUGCAUACACGCAUGUGUGUAGAGGCACUUUAAAUGCUUUAAUUGUACACUACUCUCUUUCUCUCCCAAAGGUAAAAUGGGAAUCAUUUGAAUAGAUUGCUGUCAAUUCAGUGGUCUAAACACUUAAAUCCUUCUCCGCAAACUGACUGCAUUUGAACUGGACAUACAUAUUUUUUCCUAAAGUGAUCAAAGAAAAAAUAGUUGAAAAUUGAAGCUAUUUCCAUUUUUAAAAUAUGUUUAACAGUAUAAUUGCUGCUAAACCUGCUCUUCCCCCCAAUCAAAGAGAGAGAGAAAGAGAACAUUUGAGGAUAUGAAAUGUCAUUGAAGCUCUGAGAAAAAAAAUAUUGAACUGCUCUGUAACUAGCAAAGCAUUGCUAUAGCAAAACACAUACUAGUGAGUUGGAAUCAUAUCAUUCUGAGCAUCUGCACUACUCCUCCUUGGAGAGUGCAUACUAAUCAUCUCUCUUCAUGGUCAGUAACCACAUAAGGACAACACCAGACGAUGCCAGUGGUUUUGGUCCUGUAGCAUUUAUAUGCUUUCCUGCAAAGAUAGUCAUGCCAGAUAAUAUUCGUCAACCUUGUCUUUGGUCUUCUCUCUUGAUUGAGGCAGAUGUUUAUUUUCCAUCUGCACUAUAUGUCAGUGCAACUGCAGCCUUCAUCUGGCAAAGGGUGCCUGUAAUAUUAUGAGGCCAUCGCAUAAGCUGCUGGAAAGAUUACUCUUGUGAAUAAAAUCAGUUUAUGGCUAAAAACAUUUAUUCUUCAUUUUGAUAAGCCCUUAACAAAUGAAAAUUUGCUUCCUUACACUUUUGCCAAGCAUAGGACCGUGUUUAUUUCUAGCUAUAUGGGUCACGAAGGAUUCCCAGCUGUUAGAUAGAGUCAGUUGUGCAUUGCUGCACUCAACAACAUCUGUUUCACAAAAACAGUAUCCAGCUUUUAGCGCUCAAAUGGAGGUUAUACCAUAUGCCAGCAGACCACUUAGUUUUUACCUUGGGAACCAACUUUACACUAGUCAAGGUAACAGAGGAAGUACUGAGUAUUUAAAUGCUACCAGGCUUCAGUCACAUCUUCAUGUGCUCUUGUCAUUUCCAACUAUAUAUAGUAAAAUUAGUUCCAAGCAUAUACUGCAAGCUGUUCCUCUGUUUAAUUAUUAACUGGAAGAAAGUUUGUUUGCAAAACAGUUAAAAUGUUUUUUGUGAUAGAUUCUGAUGUUGAAAGUGGUGCCAUAAGAUGCUUCUGCAAAUACAGAACCUUGUUAAAAUGUCAAAUAAUAUCAGCUAUCAACAAAGGCAGAUCAGGUUGAAUACCCUUUAACUACUGAGUAGUGCUAAAAAGCCAUACUACCAUGGUGCUCUUCAGAGUCUCACAAAACAUUCAAAAUGCCUGGCAGUGUUAUAUUACCAGGAUGUUGGCUAUUAUGAUUUAUGUUGUUCCACCAACUGUCUUCUAUACUCUCAUUUGGUUUUAAUCACUUAAUGGGUCUCUAGAAAUAAAGUUUUAAAAAUAGAUAGAUAAAUUAGAUCAAAGGAAAUGCCAGUGAUGGGUGAAUCAUUCUCUAAGAGGAAUACCAAAGCAUUUUCUGCCCUUAAUGGUGGUGGGAGGACAGUUGUUGCUGGUAACAUUGCACAGUAUUAUAUUGCAGUUAGUGAUGCAGCAAGGCAGGUUUUCUAGACAAUUAUUCAUUUUUAUCAUAAAUGUUUUGUUGCAAAAUUCAUUCCUUAAUGCCUACUAAGAUGUUUCCAAUAGCACAUAGAUUAAUUUUGGCAUGUAUUCCAAAAUAUACUUUAUUAUACUUAACUCUACCAAACAGUAGAGUGAAAAUAUGGAUUAUACCAAUGAACUGAAUGAUUGAGUUAGCUUCCAUAAACAUAAUAUUACUUAUAGAUACUUUAAUUGGCUGCAGCAUGGUAAUUGCUCAUUGAAUAAAAGCCAAUCAUGAUACUACAGGCCACUUUACUCUAAAUCCCAUCCUUAAUUUGAAAAAUUAGGAACAAAAUGAGUUAAGCUAAAAUAUAGAACAGUUUAUUUACC
Coturnix japonica (Japanese quail) is the source of this 2522-nucleotide long non-coding RNA. RefSeq lists it as uncharacterized. Lineage: Eukaryota; Metazoa; Chordata; Aves; Galliformes; Phasianidae. The record is from RefSeq and is a predicted model, not a curated record.